GCCAGACGUGGUGGUGCAUGUCUGUAAUCCUAGCUACUUGGGAAGCUGAGGUGGAGGGAUCGCUUGAACCCAGGAGGCAGAGGUUGCAGUGAGCCGAGAUUGUGCCACUGCACUCCAGCCUGGGCAACAAAGUGAGACUCCGUCUCAA
Molecule: non-coding RNA, 148 nt
Filed under: Pan troglodytes (chimpanzee)
Lineage: Eukaryota; Metazoa; Chordata; Mammalia; Primates; Hominidae
Source: Rfam by way of RNAcentral